AGGACGAACGCUGGCGGCGCGCUUAAGUACAUGCAAGUCGAGCGAGAACCAGGGCUUCGGCCCUGGGGACAGCGGCGAACGGGUGAGUAACACGUGGGUAAUCAACCCCCGACACCGGGAUAGCCCAGGGAAACUUGGAUUAAUACCGGAUGCUCCAUCUGGCUUUCGAGCCGGCUGGAAAAGGGUAGCUUCGGCCUCCGGUCGGGGACGAGCCCGCGGCGGAUUAGCUUGUUGGUGAGGUAAAGGCUCACCAAGGCGACGAUCCGUAGCUGGUCUGAGAGGACGAUCAGCCACACUGGGACUGAGACACGGCCCAGACUCCUACGGGAGGCAGCAGUAGGGAAUCUUGCGCAAUGGGCGAAAGCCUGACGCAGCGACGCCGCGUGAGGGAAGAAGGCCUUCGGGUUGUAAACCUCUUUCAGGAGGGACGAAGCCACUCGGGUUAAUAGCCCAGAGGGUGACGGUACCUCCAGAAGAAGCCCCGGCUAACUACGUGCCAGCAGCCGCGGU
This 510-nucleotide ribosomal RNA is filed under the name uncultured bacterium. RNAcentral describes it as "SSU rRNA". It matches the Rfam family "Bacterial small subunit ribosomal RNA", at positions 26 to 521 of the family's 1533-position model. The record is from RNAcentral.